This 1025-nucleotide long non-coding RNA is filed under the name Panicum hallii. Its description in RNAcentral is "long non-coding RNA (PHAL_LNC000306)". The record is from RNAcentral. Lineage: Eukaryota; Viridiplantae; Streptophyta; Magnoliopsida; Poales; Poaceae.
AUCAUAUAAAAGUGAUCCAGACGAGUUAUGGAUGCUUGAUGACCAUUACUCUCACCCUAGAGCGUAUAUCCUUAUGCAUGUCAGGGCAAAUCAUCACAAGGAAAAUGUAGUGAAGACUGAAGCAUAUGUGCAUCCUAAUUCUAAUACAAUGUAGUUCUUCUGCUCCAAACGUUAAAUUUGUUCUAGUUCUCACUUUCACCUGGUAGGCCUUAGCUAGAACAUACUUUUGAUGCUUUUCAAGCUCCCAAAAGGAUCUCAUAGCACCCCUCAAAGUUCAUGCUUGAUCAGUUUGCAGGGGAACAUUUCUCUAGCCAAGACAAAUAGCCAACUAAAUCCUAACCUAUAUAAGUACAAUUACUGCCCUCUAAACCCAGUUCAUGAGGGACUUGCAAAUCAUGCACAUGUCAAUCAGCUGAGCAACCUUGUUAAAGGCAUUUGGAUUUCCUUCAUUAAUACACAAUUCCUGGAAACUAACAAAUCUUGUUUCAGAGAAGAUAAAACUGUGCUGAUAUAUUAGACGGCUUACGUGCUUGGCAGGCCUUCCAGUUGCGGUUUGACUCGACAAGGCAGUCCUGCGAACAAAUAAUGAAGAUCAAAAUCUGAGAGGCCUAAGAUUGGUAUUGAAGGAAACAAUCGACUUUCGAGCAGAGAGGCCAGUGCCUGGAGAGAGAGAUAGAUCGUGGCACACUCGUUAAGCUGCUUCACACUCUCGUCCUCCUCAUCCGCGUUGGUCACAUGUAAGGUCCGUUGGGACACAGACAGUGGCACGUUCCUAGUGUCGCUCGAAGAAGAUUCCAUCGCGAGCUUUGGUUUGUUUUGGUGGGGCCACCUCGGUCAGUCAGUUUUGGCCUUUCAGUUGCUGUCAAAUGGAUUGGGCCUGUAAAAUGCCCUAAAGCUGUAAAUUUUAUGGCAAUCAUUUUACCAAACAUUUUUAAAAAAAACUGAAAAGGAACUGCAAGAUGUAAGUCAGAGCAUGUUCUACAAACUACAGCUUUGCAAAUAUUAAGAUAUAAUUUGAAUCAGAC